This 695-nucleotide ribosomal RNA is filed under the name bacterium 22-GDL1. Its description in RNAcentral is "bacterial SSU rRNA". It matches the Rfam family "Bacterial small subunit ribosomal RNA", at positions 507 to 1202 of the family's 1533-position model. The record is from RNAcentral.
GCCAGCAGCCGCGGUCAUACGGAGGGUGCGAGCGUUCAUCGGCAUUACUGGGCGUAAAGCGCACGCAGGCGGUCCGUCAAGUCGGAUGUGAAAUCCCCGGGCUCAACCUGGGAACUGCAUUCGAAUCUGGCAGGCUAGAGUCUUGUAGAGGGGGGUAGAAUUCCAGGUGUAGCGGUGAAAUGCGUAGAGAUCUGGAGGAAUACCGGUGGCGAAGGCGGCCCCCUGGACAAAGACUGACGCUCAGGUGCGAAAGCGUGGGGAGCAAACAGGAUUAGAUACCCUGGUAGUCCACGCCGUAAACGAUGUCGACUUGGAGGUUGUGCCCUUGAGGCGUGGCUUCCGGAGCUAACGCGUUAAGUCGACCGCCUGGGGAGUACGGCCGCAAGGUUAAAACUCAAAUGAAUGGACGGGGGCCCGCACAAGCGGUGGAGCAUGUGGUAUAAUACGAUGCAACGCGAAGAACCUUACCUACUCUUGACAUCCAGAGAACUGACCAGAGAUGGAUUGGUGCCUUCGGGAACUCUGAGACGGGUGCUGCAUGGCUGUCGUCAGCUCGUGUGGUGAAAUGUCGGGUUCAGCUCCGCAACGAGCGCAACCCUGAUUCUUAGUCGCCAGCGGGUCGGCCUGGAACUCACACGAGACUGCCAGUGAUAAGCUGAGGAAUUGUUGGGAUGACGGUCAGUCAUCAUGGCUCU